UUUCGGUUCUUCCUCAUUUUCUCUUGCUGCCGCAAUGUAAGAAGAGCCAUACGCCUCCCGCCAUGAUUCUGAGACCUCCACAGCGAUGUGGAACUUGCCGAAUAAUAUUUCAUUUUCUGGAUAUACCUCACUUUAUCUACUUGCUACAGAAGGGCAUCCUGCUUACUUUAAAGUUUUGGCAAUUAGGAAUAAAGCUGCUAUAAGCAUCCAGGUAAAGGUAUUUAUGUGAACAUAAGUUUUUAAUUCACUUGAGUAAAUAUCAAGAACCAUUAUUGUUCUAUCAUAUCGUAAGAGUAUUUUUAGUUUUGUAAGAAACGCCAAAGUGUCUUUCAAAGUGGCUGUAUCAUUUUGUAGUCCCUCCAGCAGUGAAUGAAAGUUCCUCUUGCUCCACACCCUCACCAGCAUUUGAUGUUGUCAGUGUUUUGAAUUUUGAUUAUUCUAAUUGCUGUAUAGUAGAAUCUCGAUGUUGUUUUAAUUUAAAAUUCCCUAAAGACAUAAGGUGUUGAACAUCUUUUCAGAUGCUUACUUUUAACUGUAUGUCUUUUCUGGCAAGCUGUCUGCUUGUCUUUUGCCCCCUUUUAAUGGGAUUGUUUGUUAUCUUGUUGUUGAGUUUUAAGAGUUCUUUGUAUAUUUUGUAUAACAGCUUUUUAUCCUAUGUGUCUUUUGCAAAUAUUUUCUUCAAGUCUGUGGGUUUCCUUCUCAUUUUGUUGAAAAAAAACAUAUAUUUUUAAAUAAAGAAGAUAGAUAGAAACACUUUGAUGAUUAAUGAAAUUCUUGAUAAUUAUAUCUGAGUUAUUAAAUACUUAUUAAUUUUAAUGACAUUUUACAUUGUUUACAUGUGUUAACUUUCUUAAACUUCAAAAAUAAAAUAAUUGGAAAAGGGAGCAAUAU
This 891-nucleotide long non-coding RNA is filed under the name Homo sapiens (human). RNAcentral's name for it is "HSALNT0070918". Lineage: Eukaryota; Metazoa; Chordata; Mammalia; Primates; Hominidae. The record is from RNAcentral.